ACACAUUUUACCUUGAUGGAUCUUUGGCCUUCCCUCAUGGCUCAGACAGUAAAGAAUCUGUCUGUGUUGCAGGAAACCCAGAUUUGAUCCCUGAAUCGAGAGGAUCUCCUGGAGAAGGGAAUGGCUAACCAUUCCAGUAUUCUUGCUUGGAGAAUUCCAUGGACAAAGGAGCGGAGCCUGGAAGGCUACAGUCCAUGGGGUCAUAAAGAGUCAGACACAGCUUACCAACUGAACACACAAGCACAAUGGUUUGUUUCAAGGAGAUGACAUGUGGGAUUCUGAGAGAUGCUGCUGCCCAUGACGUGUUGGAAUUAUCAUGAUCUACUACCCAGUUUGGAUUUCAUCCAGUGGUCAAGAGCUUUGCAUGGUAGACAGCAAGGGUCGGAUUUCUAAAAAGAGUAAACCAGGUAAGAUUUGAGGGAGUCAUCUGAUCAUUUAUCAUUUGUUUAGGCAUUUCUAAGGGCUUUAGAGUGCUGCCAAGGUGUAUUGAAUAAUGCGUAACUUCUCUGUUUGCUUUCUAAGUCCACUCAACAGGUUGUUGAAGAAUGGUGCUCCCUUGAAUUCAGGAGAAUGGAUAUAGUAAUGAUUGAGUUCUUUUUUCUCAAGAGGAGGGGAGGAGUUAAGAUAACGUAAAGCAGACACAAGAUACUAUGGAUGAUGGUUUAAUGCAAUAGCCCCAAAUUGCAGCUAAGGCAGUUUCCUCUUUAAGGAACUACUCUGAACUAUAAUGGAAUAAGCAGUUGUACUUUUUGAAGGUUGAGUAGGGAAAGUGUUGCAGUUUACAGCAUAUGAUCUUACAUAUAUGCUUCAAAGUUAUUCCAGUUUAGAAGGUAUACCAUUAUUUUGCCUUUUAUUUUUUGAAAGUAUUUAUCAUUCUAAAUUCUGUUCAUCUAAGUAUGAUUUGAUAUGGUAACAUAAUGACCUAGUCCAUUGUGGCUUUUGGAAUUUAAAAUGUAACACAUGCUCUUAUUCAACUUGUCUCUGGGACUUUUGUCUGUUUCAUUCUGGAACCUCUUUUCAACUAUCAGAUCUGAUCUUUCUCUUUAACAUUCUUCCUCCUCUAUAACAUAAUUAAAAUUUGUUAGUAACAGUUACUUGGGGCAACUACAUUAUUCCUAUCUUCUGAUUUUAAGACUAUCAGAGCUCUUAUAUCAAAAUUUUAUGAAUCCCAAAUCAAGAUUUCCUUUAAGUUCAAUUAUCAAAACAGAAAAUAUAUGUAAAAUUUAAUCAUUUAGAAAACUUGAACUCUUACAGUUGGAGUGUUUGUUUUUUUAAAAUACAGCUUUUUUAUUUUCUGAAAAUAAAGCAAAUGGAACUCAGUUAAUAAAUUAUAGG
RNAcentral lists this long non-coding RNA (1335 nucleotides) under Bos indicus x Bos taurus (hybrid cattle). RNAcentral describes it as "lncRNA (ENSBIXG00005027027.1)". Lineage: Eukaryota; Metazoa; Chordata; Mammalia; Artiodactyla; Bovidae. The record is from RNAcentral.